RNAcentral lists this ribosomal RNA (465 nucleotides) under uncultured bacterium. RNAcentral describes it as "partial 16S ribosomal RNA". It matches the Rfam family "Bacterial small subunit ribosomal RNA", at positions 338 to 795 of the family's 1533-position model. The record is from RNAcentral.
CCUACGGGUGGCAGCAGUGGGGAAUAUUGCGCAAUGGGCGAAAGCCUGACGCAGCGACGCCGCGUGAGGGAUGAAGGUCUUCGGAGCGUAAACCUCUGUCAGCAGGGAAGAACGGUCACUGUGCUAAUCAGCAGUGAAUUGACGGUACCUGCAAAGGACGCACCGGCUAACUCCGUGCCAGCAGCCGCGGUAAUACGGAGGGUGCGUGCGUUAAUCUGAAUUUCUGGGCGUAAAGCGCUCGUAGGCGGUAUGUCAAGUCAAGUGUGAAAUCCCCGCGCUCAACGUGGGAACUGCCUUUGAAACUGGCAAACUGGAGUAUGUGAGAGGAUAGUGGAAUUCCAGGUGUAGGAGUGAAAUCCGUAGAUAUCUGGAGGAACAUCAGUGGCGAAGGCGACUAUCUGGCACAUAACUGACGCUGAGGAGCGAAAGCGUGGGUAGCAAACAGGAUUAGAUACCCUAGUAGUC